AUACUGAGGGUGCAAGCGUUAAUCGGAAUUACUGGGCGUAAAGCGCGCGUAGGCGGCUAGAUCAGUUGGAUGUGAAAGCCCCGGGCUCAACUCGGGAACUGCAUUCAAUACUGUCUAGCUAGAGUUUGGUAGAGGGUGACGGAAUUCCAGGUGUAGCGGUGAAAUGCGUAGAUAUCUGGAGGAACAUCAGUGGCGAAGGCGGUUGCCUGGACCAAAACUGACGCUGAGGUGCGAAAGCGUGGGGAGCAAACAGGAUUAGAUACCCUAGUAGUCC
This 274-nucleotide ribosomal RNA is filed under the name uncultured bacterium. RNAcentral's name for it is "partial 16S ribosomal RNA". It matches the Rfam family "Bacterial small subunit ribosomal RNA", at positions 523 to 796 of the family's 1533-position model. The record is from RNAcentral.